UGCAUUUGAAGCCCAUGAGGAUGAGAACCUCCGGGGGCUGGGAGGUUCGACUCGAGCGAAGCGAGAGAACGUUGCGCCAGCAACGGCCCGCAGGGCGAGCCACGAAGUGGCGAGUAAUCCUCUAUCACCGACCA
Molecule: small RNA, 134 nt
Filed under: Escherichia coli
Lineage: Bacteria; Pseudomonadati; Pseudomonadota; Gammaproteobacteria; Enterobacterales; Enterobacteriaceae
Also listed under: 22 other names
Description: RtT sRNA
Rfam family: RtT RNA
About the family: This family represents a bacterial cis-regulatory element known as RtT RNA. The exact function of RtT is unknown although it is thought that it may be involved in changing the cellular response in relation to amino acid starvation.
Source: RNAcentral